This 71-nucleotide transfer RNA is filed under the name Loxodonta africana (African savanna elephant). It matches the Rfam family "tRNA". From Rfam's summary of the family: Transfer RNA (tRNA) molecules are approximately 80 nucleotides in length. Their secondary structure includes four short double-helical elements and three loops (D, anti-codon, and T loops). Lineage: Eukaryota; Metazoa; Chordata; Mammalia; Proboscidea; Elephantidae. The record is from Rfam by way of RNAcentral.
GCAGUGGUGGUUCAGUGGUAGAAUUCUCACCUUCCAUGCAGGAGACCCAGGUUUGAUUCCCAGCCAAUGCA